AGCGAACGCUGGCGGCAGGCCUAACACAUGCAAGUCGAACGAACCUUUCGGGGUUAGUGGCGGACGGGUGAGUAACCCGUGGGAACGUGCCUUUAGGCUCGGAAUAACUCAGGGAAACUUGUGCUAAUACCGAAUGUGCUCUUCGGGGGAAAGAUUAAUCGCCUUUAGAGCGGCCCGCGUCUGAUUAGCUAGUUGGUUGAGGUAAUGGCUCACCAAGGCGACGAUCAGUAGCUGGUAUGAGAGGAUGAUCAGCCACAUUGGGACUGAGACACGGCCCAAACUCCUACGGGAGGCAGCAGUGGGGGAUCUUGCGCAAUGGGCGAAAGCCUGACGCAGCCAUGCCGCGUGAAUGAUGAAGGUCUUAGGAUUGUAAAAUUCUUUCACCGGGGACGAUAAUGACGGUACCCGGAGAAGAAGCCCCGGCUAACUUCGUG
RNAcentral lists this ribosomal RNA (434 nucleotides) under uncultured bacterium. RNAcentral describes it as "partial 16S ribosomal RNA". It matches the Rfam family "Bacterial small subunit ribosomal RNA", at positions 29 to 507 of the family's 1533-position model. The record is from RNAcentral.